UGGCCCUCUUGACACCACCAGAAACAGGAGCAUCCACCAGCUUCAAAUCUUUGCCUUCAUUUUGCAGUCGCCGAUCUAGUUGGAUCACAAAUCCUGGUGAUACAGUAGAUGAAAGGAUGACGGAUGAUCCUGACGGAAGUGCUGAAACUGCACCAUGAUGUCCAAACAAAACACUCUCAGCUUGAGCUUCAUUUGUAACCA
RNAcentral lists this unclassified non-coding RNA (201 nucleotides) under Hevea brasiliensis (rubber tree). Lineage: Eukaryota; Viridiplantae; Streptophyta; Magnoliopsida; Malpighiales; Euphorbiaceae. The record is from RNAcentral.